UAUUUUUUCCCCUGUAUAAUUUCAUAUCAUUGGGAUACAGUCAAAUAAAAAUUAGUAAAACAAGUUACAUUUCAGAGGAAGAAAAUAUUUGCUCAUCUUGUCUUGCAGUGUCUGGAGACUUCUGCAACUGUUUACUUGUUCACUUUCUGUAAGCUGUUGUCAGCUCAGCUGUCUGAACUACAGCUUCAUUUUUAAAUAUUUUUCACUGAAAAAAUACCAACUAAGUCUCUGAAUGUUUUAUGUCUACAGCCACAUCAGAUAUCACAACAAAAAGGAAGCUUAUGUCUUGAAAUUACUCAGUGUUGGCUUCACCCUUGUCAAGGGCUGGCUCCCCAUACAGAAACUGACAGGUUUAGGGUACACUAGAUAUAUUUCAUCAGUGAGAGGAAUCAAGUUCUGUGUGUGUACAGAACAUGGUCUUAAAGGCAGUGAUUUCACUGACAAAAAACAGAAGACAUCUUUUUCCUUCAGAGCUGUAGACACCUGACUGAAAAACACAGGGUAACCAGACACACCGUAAGGGGGAGAUGCAAAGACAGUGGGUAGAGUGCUCCUACUGAGCAUUUCCAUUCUGAAGGGCCAUUCAAAUGCCUCUCUACAAAAAAACCUGAAUGUAAAUAAUGUCAACUGUCUAUGAAAGCAGGUGAUUUAGGUCACUGAGCAGCGUACCUUUGUUAAAUUAUAUUAUUCUUUCAAAUACUCAACUUACAUCUGAGCUAUUCCCUUUGAUUGUCUAUAAAAUCUUCUCUAAGGAGAACUAUCCACUGCUUUAGAAAGGAAAGCAAACAAAUGGAGGCAUUUUAUCCAUUGAAUAUUGGAAAAAAUGUCAGGUAAGGAAGACCACACAUGAUCUAGCCAAAGGAGAUCUGAAACUAACUGCAGGUGAUGAGAAGGUAAUGAAAUGCAUGUGAGUAUCCCUGAGAACUGUGGGAGUGGGACACGUUUUUAUUAUUGGCAUAAAAAUAUCACCAAAUGUCUCAUCAUUCUUAGCUCCAUUCUUAUUGCAGGAAAAAAAAGACUGGGUAGAGGAUGGUGCCGGACAAAGCAAAACCUAAUUCGGUAAAGAGUAUAUAAAUGCUGGAAAUUCAGUUAAAUUUCAAGCUCACGUUUCACUCUUUGGAUUGAAAUCAGGCAAAAGUUUUGCUCAAGGAUCUUGGAAUUUCCUUGUGUCUUUUCUCCACAGUGACUGGCAGUUAGACCUACCCAACUGGGCCAAGGAAGCUUCUGAAAUUUUUACUUUUGCCAGACUUUGAAGGAGAGAGGAAUGUGGAACAAGCAACCUCUUUCUCCUUCUUUGUUUUGACUCUGACAAUCAGAUCCAGUUGCAGACUGUCCUCAGAGGCCCAGAGACUGUGAUCUUUCCUCUUUUAGGGAGUCUGCAUGUGAAAUAGGUCCCCAGAACCACACUGACCCCCCAAUUGACAGAAUCUUGCACAGCACUCCAGGUUUGCUGUGGAGGAAGUCUUCCCUCGUUACAGACAGCUACUUGGGAUGUCAAGGUAGGGCAGCAGCUACCAUUCAGUGUGGCAUCUGUUGUGCAAUGUGGCCACUUAGGAGCUUAGAAAUCCUGUAAUCGAAUGUAUUUCAGUACGGCAAGAUGCUGUUACUUUUCUCUGUUUUAGUGCAAAUUAGAGAGAACUCAGCUGUGGCUAAAUACUUACUGCUUUUUACUGUGUUUUCAACACAAUCCUUUUAUGUGUAUGUACAUCUCGCCUGCAAACAUUCCUACACACUCAACAACAGAUGCAUUGAGGAUAAUUCUGCCAAUUACAAAGCUACUAGGAGAGCUGUAGUUGAACUCUGAGUAUAGAGCAGCCAGCUGAAGUAGACAACAACAAUUUCUGACACAGCCAGUCACAGCUGACAUUUCUGUUCUUGAUCCACUGAGUCAUCUGAAUCCUGUAAGAACACUCAUCAUGGAAAUAGUCUGAAACAGAAAAAUAGUCUGAGCUCUCCUGCAGAAUAUAUUCUUGACCCAAUCUGUAAUGUUAAGAAAGGGCUCUGAUAGCUGCAUAUAUUUUUCUUCACUUGUAGGUAAUAGGGGUGCACUGCUUACUGGUCCUAGUCCUUGUGGUCACAGUGGGAUUGUCACGGUUUUAUUAGUUACUUUUGCACUUUCUGAUGUUCCUGUAAAACAACAUUCUGUUUCAGGAGAUGUGCCUGUCAAGGAAGCAGGGAGAAGGUGGAUGACAUGAUGAGUGGCUUCCAACACUUUGUUUAUGUCUCCACGGGGUGGAAGCAUUUUGUUAACUCUGCACUCUCAAUGUGGAUCAGUCACUGCUGCCAACAUAAAUAAUUUCAAAUAUUUCACUGAGAAUUGCUGCAAAGCUACAGGAGAUUUUCUGCCUAUGUGAUUGAGAUUGUGUCUCCUUUGAUUUCAACUUGAUUUAAUUUUAUAGAAGGAGAGGCAAAUAUAGGAUGAGUGUUAGUGCAGCCCUGCAACUUGCAUUAUUGAUACUUCCAAACUGUCCAGUUCAAAUGGGGGCAGAAUGUUAACAGAACUGAGAGUAUCAGUCUAGUGGCUGAAGGACAAAAAUAAGCUGCCUUUUUGAUCUUUGCUGGUCAACAAAAGCAUGCUUUGCUAGCUCCAGAAGUCUUUCAUGUGAGACAAAAUGGACAGAGAUGAAAACCCAUGUCUGAUCUAACACUUUGGCAAGCUUUAUUUUCUUACACCCGCAGGAGAAGAUUUCUGGCCUUUCAAAAAAAUGGACAAAAGUAAAUCAGAAGUCCCUUUCUGCAAUGUAGAAAGUCACUGUUAAAGUUUAUUCUGUGUAAAAAACAUGCUCUGUAUGCAGAAUUAUCAUCCCUAAAAACCUGCACUCCUUUGAAAUUAGAUUGGUCAGAAAACCAGAGCCUCUGGGUAUAAACCAAACCCUCAGUUCUCUAAAUGGAUCACAGUGUAAGAUUUAGAAAAAAUAUUUACUGUACUUGUCAUCACUUUUCUGGUGUUUUUUUUUGAGAAACUGGAUCAGGCAGAGCUGUAGCCUGAUAAAUUUCUCUAACCACUGACUUGGAGUACAUAUACCUGAAACUGAGCAAGUAAUUCAAAAUAAUUUUUCAGAUAAAUUCAUUUUCUUAUUUAUUUUCUGCAUGUAGAAAACCUGUGAGGAAGUAAUGGGUUCCAUUAAUUCACUAAUUGUUUGAAAGCACUCCACAUAUUCAAAGUGAUAUUUUUAUUACCUUAAAAUGGAGUGAUCGGAAAUAAUUUGUUGAGUUAUUUGCAUUAAAUGUCUGUCCCUGCUUCGAUGAGCUUUUCUGUCAUUGUGAAGAUAAGAAGAUGGGAAAUCUCUGAGGCUUUUGUAUUUUCAGACAAUGGGAACAGAUUAGGGACAAGAAAGAGAAAAUGAAGAUUAGGGGAUUUUAGAAAAAUAAACCUGUGUAUUGCUGUUGGUUUUCCUGACAGAAAAAAUGGAUUUUUUUUUUAUUGUGGUACAUUUAUUUCUGUCAUGUUUAGAACCCAUGCAAUGGUCUGUUAUUCUCUGUGGGUCACUCAGGUAAGGCAAAGACAAACCCUGCUGCCCUGGACUUCAGAACAGUGCAAAGCAAAGAGCAGGUGAGAGAGUUUCAUGGGAGAGGGGAUGUCCAACUCAAGCUUCUCCUCUGUUACUGUUUUCAGCCUUCUUGACAUUUCUCAAAGUAAGCUGUAUUUCAGAUUAGUAGCCCUUGGCAGUAGGCUGGAGAAAGAUGAGAUUUUAGUGUGAUAAGCUACACAGGCAUGGGGGGAAAGCAAAGAAUAUGUGUGAAAAAUUGAAAUGACAAGGUCAUGUUGAUAGCUUGGUUGUGGGAGCUGCCACGGUAGUUUGUUGCAUUAUGAUUAGAGAUGGGCCAACUAGCAUGAAUGAGAUGAGAGCUGGUUUGAACCUUCAUCCACUCCUCUAACCAGACUGCAGAGGAGCCCAUGGUGAGGCUAAAAUACAUCUAGCACUGGUACAUUUGGUUUCUCAGCAUUAUUUAAUGAGCUUCUGCUUCUGACAAUUUAGCCUAGAAUAGGAAACGGGAAUCUAGAAAAAUUGUCAGGACAUUAAUCCAGUCUAAAAUCCUUCAAUCUGGAAAACUUGAUUGCAUAAAACCACUUAAAGACAUUUUCAUGCCAUUCCCAGACUUCCAUCUGUAAAAAAGAGCUCCAUAUCCCUGUUAAUAACCAUCCUGUUAACAAAAUGAAACAAAGUCUGCAAAGCUUUCAAAUUUCAACACGGGGUCUUUUUAAUUAUGAAGCCCUCAGAUGAGAUGCCAAGCUGCUGUCAAAGGGUGAGUGUGAGAGUAGUCUGUGUACGAGGACUUGCAGUGGGAACUGCACUGAGCUAGGCGUACGAUCCCUCUGUCAGCUGUUUCUCUUCUCUUUGGCUUUAUCCUGUGGGAAGUAGCUUUACAUUCAGAUUCAGACUACAAGGGAUUCUACGAAAGCUGAAUUUCUGCACUGGCCGUGCUUAUUCUGCAGUGUGUGUCACACUCCCCGCAGUGAGGGCUAAGUUCUCCCUAUUUUGUGCAGCCUCUGUCUAAUGCAGACAAAAUUCCUCUUCUCACAAGGAUUCCAGGAGAAAGCAAAGGCAGAGAGCAAGGGCAAGUGGAGACAAGCACUGCAGUUUACCUUGGACUCCCUGUUUUGAAACACUUGCCAAGCUCACUGAGGUAAUAGUUGUGAUUUGAUUGAAUAACAAAAUCCAUAUCCAGCCCAUUUCUCCAAAGUGCAGUCAGCAGCGCAGGAUUCUUCUCUUCCUUUUGCCUUAAUAAUGUCACUGCUUAGUUCUUGGUUACAGGUAUUCAUGAUGGAUACAGUGGGGCAGAAAUACACAGGAGUCCAGAGUGUUUUGAAGUGGCUCUAGGAGUCACUGAAAUAAUGACCUAUAUUGGUGUUGGAAACUUUUUUCCUGACCAUUUUCAUCCUCAGUGUGCUUUACAGACCUGAGAGCUGCAUCUCUUUGAACUGUGGCAAUGCAGAGCAGAAAGCAGCUUCUCCAGCUGAGGCUGCAGGGAACACUGCUACGUGAGGACUGGAAGGAUAAGCAGAGCUUCUCACCCAUAUCUGGAUAAAGGAUUGCCUCUUAACAUGCUUUCCCUUUCUUCCCCUCCCUUCCACUCCCCUCCCAAAAGUAUACAGCAGUGAAAGAAGGUAACCAAAGGCUCCUUUUCUCUUUUACUUGGAGGUAAAUGGACCUGACCUACCUCUUAAUGAAAUCUCCUUUUUACACGAUGAAGACAGCAGCUUGGAAAAACAGAAAAAGAAAAAGGGAGUUUAAAGACACAUGACUUCGAUGUUACUGAAGAUUGUGUCACAAUCAUCAAAUGGAGCUGGUGCCAAAUAAACCAGAUGGAGCUUUCAAUCAACAAACUGCAUUUAUUUUUGAUAUCUGUGGCUUAUUUGUUACCCAUGCACCUUUUAAUAGGAUAAGGAUUUCUGAGAUAUUAUCACAUGGUUCUAUCAUGGAUACCUUCUGCAGGCACCAGUUUGCCACCAAAGACACUAAUCACGGAAGAAAGUGGUAUAGAAACUUGUAUUGAUGUUUUGCCUUUCCAAAGGAAGUAAAUGACAGCAAAGCAUAUUUCAAGGUCUGGUUGCCAACAUACUCAAUUAAGCAGAGUUUGGAGGAGGAGGAGAAGGAGGAGGGGGAUGGCUGGAAACUCCCAGUCAUACUACAAAUGACAGCUAUCUGCUGUCAGAGACCUGGUGACGUUGAACCAAACUGUGAAAUAUGUGUAAUUCCUCAAAUAUCACUGAUGAUGAAGCACCAGAUUUUUAUUUUUUUCCAUGUGGAUGUGACUGCUUUUGACCAUGACAGGUUUUCAUAAAUCUGGUGUCAUUAUAGAACACAUGACUUGUGUCACCACUGCUACAACAAGAGAAAUCCAUCACAGAUCAAAGUGCCAGGAGAAGUCAUAUUCACUAUAUAAGCCCCACUUAAGCUUUCCAAAUACAGCUUGAGUGGAAUUUAAGUGGGCCAUAGACCAUGUUUCUGCUCCUAUACACAGGCAUGAAUUUUACAAUUUGAAAACAAAACUAAAAUAAAAAGCAUUUUCUUAUAUAACACAAAGCUAUCUGAAGUCACAAGGCCAUUCAGACCUAGAUAUCUUUGCCAAUAUUUUACCUUGAAUGCCAUGUUAGUUUUUGUAGAAUAUGAACCUAAACAAUAAAACUUUCCAGUAUUAUUUUAAUACUUCUAAUAUUAGACCUUCAGCCUAUGUCCUAUAUUAUAUCUUUCUGAACAGAGCUGUCUGUAACAUUCUCAGACCACAAGCUCUUUGAGCAAGGAUCAUGCUUACCUACUUGUUCAUGUGUUGCAUAGAUUGUUGCAGGCUACAAACAAUAACUUUUCUACUGUAAGAUAUUUCUUGAACUCUGAAAAAUCCACAUUUAUUUAUCUCUCAAUGUAGUGUAUAUACAUAUAUAUGUAUGUAUACAUAUAUGUGUGUGUGUGUAUGUAUAUAUAUAUAUAAACUGAUAAAUAUAUACAUUUGCUUACAGGAAAGUGAUGGUGCUACUUCUCUCUAAUGCUUCUAGACUUAGGCAGCCUCUUCAUAUUCAUAUUCACAUUCACAUUCUUUUUUCCCUUUCCAAUAUUUAAAUGUAAUGCUAACUUCUAUUUUUAAUGUGUUUUUUAUAGUAAGCAAAGUCUAAGACACUGUAAAAUAGCUAUACAAUUAAAAAAAAAAUAUAAUGACUAAUUUAAAGCCUACAGAGAU
Parus major (Great Tit) is the source of this 6678-nucleotide long non-coding RNA. RefSeq lists it as uncharacterized. The transcript has 3 exons. The record is from RefSeq and is a predicted model, not a curated record. Lineage: Eukaryota; Metazoa; Chordata; Aves; Passeriformes; Paridae.